GAUAUUAGAGUGGGUGCCCUGUUACAGGAGGGAAAUGGAAGUGAGAAUCAGGGAUGAAGGGAGAAAAGUCAAAACAUGGUGUGAUGAACACAACAAGACUUUGCAGCAAGGUUGGCAAAAAGUGGCAAAGAGGCCUUCACCAUCUGCUAAGAGUUGUGCACAGCAGGUGCCUCUGAGAAACAAAUGCUUUUUGUAGAAGUGAGGGGUGCCCAUGGUCAGGGAGGCAGGGACCAGCCUCUGCCCUCUCAGCCUGUGACACCUGUCUCCUCUUACCUGGCAGACUCCUACUCAGCCCUCACAGGCCUCUAGGCUGCCUCAGAAGCCAUGUGGUUAGGGAAGGAGCAAUGGCUUUUUGAACCUCCAUUUCUUCAUCUGUAAAAUGGGAAUAAUGACAAUACCUACCUCAGAAGGUUGUGUUGGGAAGGAAGUGAGAUGAGCAAAAUACACAAAGUACCUGCCCCUUGGAGCUCAUACUCUAGUGGAGGGAGAUAGGUGGUAGACAAAUAAAUAUGUAAUGUCUCUACUGCUGUAUCCGCAGUACCCAGAACUGUGCCUAGCACAUAGCAGGUGCUCAGUUAAUAUUUGUAGAAUGAAUAAGUGAAUGAAUGAAAGUCAGUGGUAAAUGCUAUAAAAAGAAAUAAAGCAGGAUAAGGGGAAAGGGAGAGCUGGGGGUGCUGGCAGGUCGGAGAAGCCAUUACUGUUAGUGCUGGUGGUGAGGGAAGGCCUCCCUGAGAUAAGAUUUGAGUGAAGAUUUGAAGGAAAUGAGUGAACAAACUAUGAGACUAUCAGGGGCCAGGGGGGCCAGGAAGAAGUGGGCUCCAGGUUUAGUGGGGAGGCCAGUGUGGCUGGAGCAGAGUGAGGGACAGAGAAUGGGGGAAGCUGAGGUCCCCUGUGUAGGUGAGCUGAGAAUGUGGUAGGAGUCCCCUCCGCACUCCCAGGGACAAGACCUAGAAAAGUCAAUGCUGCUCAGCCCUUUCCCAGGCAGUUGGCUGGGGCCAGCCCCUAAAAACAGUAGCACAAACUCCUCUCAGGUACUGAGCACUCCUGUGUGCCAGGCCCAGCUCUACUGGCACAAACUCAUGGAACAUCACCAGCCCUGGGAAUGGGUACUAUUAUUAUCUCAUUUUCAGAGCAGGCAACUGAGACUCUGGGAAGCAGCUAACCUUGGAACCGGAACUGGGUCUCUCUGAUACCAGACCCUGGCUUGCUCCUACCACAUUGUCUUGAAAUCCUUUGUUUACAGCUCGCCUUCCCCUCUCGGCUGCAGAAGGCCUGUCUCAGUCUCAUUCAUGGUUUUCUUCUACUCCCAGGGUCCCAAGUGUCAAAAUCUGCCUAAGGAGCAAAUAAAUGAAUGAGCCUACAAGGCAAGCCCCUCUUCGCCUUCCGGGCCCAGUUCACGCCUUGGUUGGCAGGUCAGCUGGAGGGAGCCGGUGUGCUGCUCCUGCAAUGUGUCCUGGGCAAGAAAGUGGUAGGGGUGGGCGGG
RNAcentral lists this long non-coding RNA (1483 nucleotides) under Pan troglodytes (chimpanzee). Its description in RNAcentral is "long non-coding RNA NONPTRT009065". The record is from RNAcentral. Lineage: Eukaryota; Metazoa; Chordata; Mammalia; Primates; Hominidae.